RNAcentral lists this long non-coding RNA (207 nucleotides) under Olea europaea (common olive). RNAcentral describes it as "long non-coding RNA (OEUR_LNC011883)". Lineage: Eukaryota; Viridiplantae; Streptophyta; Magnoliopsida; Lamiales; Oleaceae. The record is from RNAcentral.
UUCUUGCUGUUUUGAACCUUUGGAGAAAACUUUCUGCCCAUUCAUUUGGCAUUUGACGUAAAUUCGCCAAAUCAGCCAAAGUGACUUCAGAUUCAGUUUUGUAAAACUGAGCAUGAAACAACUGUUCCAGUUGUUGCCAUGUUUGAACAGAGUUCGCUGGCAAGUUAAUGAACCAGGAGAAAGCUACUCCUGUUAACGAACUAGGGA